Molecule: unclassified non-coding RNA, 384 nt
Filed under: Hevea brasiliensis (rubber tree)
Lineage: Eukaryota; Viridiplantae; Streptophyta; Magnoliopsida; Malpighiales; Euphorbiaceae
Source: RNAcentral
AAAUCUGCUCAGCCCGGAAUAGAGAAAAGGAAAGUUGAGGGAGAUCAACCUCACUACCAAUGCAUGAAAGGAAGUUCUGAGUUCACGGCAAGAAUAAAAGAAUAUAACGUGAGAAAACGUUCUCCUUAUAUGCAUAUACCCACAGAGUUUUGUCAGUCAAAUGCACUCUUUCAGAAUACAACCAUGACGUUAACAGGCCCGUCGGGUAAAUCAUGUCCUGUGAGUCUGAGAAUUUGCAAUGGUGGGAAGACUCUAUAUGCUUGUAUUACCAGAGGCUGGCAUGAUUUCUUUUCAAGCAACAAGCUAAAAGUAGGCGAUGUUUGCCUCUUCCAACUUGAUCGCUCAAAAAGCGACUCAAAUUCCAUUGCCAUCGAUGUUCGUGUU